This 497-nucleotide ribosomal RNA is filed under the name uncultured bacterium. Its description in RNAcentral is "partial 16S ribosomal RNA". It matches the Rfam family "Bacterial small subunit ribosomal RNA", at positions 28 to 507 of the family's 1533-position model. The record is from RNAcentral.
GAUGAACGCUGGCGGCGUGCCUAAUACAUGCAAGUCGAGCGAACAGACGAGGAGCUUGCUCCUCUGACGUUAGCGGCGGACGGGUGAGUAACACGUGGAUAACCUACCUAUAAGACUGGGAUAACUUCGGGAAACCGGCGCUAAUACCGGAUAAUAUAUUGAACCGCAUGGUUCAAUAGUGAAAGACGGUUUUGCUGUCACUUCUAGAUGGAUCCGCGCCGCAUUAGCUAGUUGGUAAGGUAACGGCUUACCAAGGAAACGAUGCGUAGCCGACCUGAGAGGGUGAUCGGCCACACGGGAGCUGAGACACGGUCCAGACUCCUACGGGAGGCAGCAGUAGGGAAUCUUCCGCAAUGGGCGAAAGCUUGACGGAGCAACGCCGCGUGAGUGAUGAAGGUCUUCGGAUCGUAAAACUCUGUUAUUAGGGAAGAACAAAUGUGUAAGUAACUAUGCACGUCUUGACGGUACCGAAUCAGAAAGCCACGGCUAACUACGUG